UUAGUAUUCCCUCUGUCCGAAAAUACUUGUCAUCAAAAUGAAUAAAAGGGGAUGUAUCUAGAUGUAUUUUAGUUCUAGAUACCUCCCUUUUUGUCCAUUUUGAUAUCAAGUAUUUUCGGACAGAGGGAGUACAUA
This is a non-coding RNA of Triticum aestivum (bread wheat), 135 nucleotides long. The record is from Rfam. Lineage: Eukaryota; Viridiplantae; Streptophyta; Magnoliopsida; Poales; Poaceae.